AAAUGACUUUUGAACUUAGUGGCGGACGGGUGAGUAAUGCAUGAGCAACCUGCCCUGCAGUGGGGGACAACAGUUGGAAACGACUGCUAAUACCGCAUGAUGUAUCUGAAAGGCAUCUUCCGGAUACCAAAGAUUUAUCGCUGUGGGAUGGGCUCAUGUCUGAUUAGUUAGUUGGUGGGGUAACGGCCUACCAAGACUGCGAUCAGUAGCCGGACUGAGAGGUUGAACGGCCACAUUGGGACUGAGAUACGGCCCAGACUCC
This 262-nucleotide ribosomal RNA is filed under the name uncultured Oscillospiraceae bacterium. RNAcentral's name for it is "partial 16S ribosomal RNA". It matches the Rfam family "Bacterial small subunit ribosomal RNA", at positions 76 to 339 of the family's 1533-position model. Lineage: Bacteria; Bacillati; Bacillota; Clostridia; Eubacteriales; Oscillospiraceae. The record is from RNAcentral.